This is an RNA transcript of Phacochoerus africanus (Common warthog), 3734 nucleotides long. It is a transcript of the gene named family with sequence similarity 110 member C, with no coding region annotated. The record is from RefSeq and is a predicted model, not a curated record. The transcript is spliced from 2 exons. NCBI's taxonomy places the organism in Eukaryota, Metazoa, Chordata, Mammalia, Artiodactyla, Suidae.
GACGGGCGAGUACUCCAGCGAUUAGCCAAUCCGUGAGGACUCCGGUUCGCCCUGACUCCAGACCAGCCGGCGGGAACUGGGGCGCCGCUCUAUUCCGCCCGAGUUCGGAAUUGGUAAAAGGACGGGCGGGAGCCGCAGCGGAAGCGCGUUUCCGCGGUGCGCCGAGCCUUGCGGAUCCCCGAGGAUGCGCGCCCUGCCAACCCUGGACGCGCCCCCAAACGAGCGGCUCCUGUUCCGGGACCUCGAGGCCCCCAGGGCCCGGGAUGCGGCGGAGCCGGCGCGCAGGAGUGCUGUGGAGAGGCUGGCAGCCGACCGUGCCAAGUACGUGCGGGGUGCGCCGGGGGCGGGCCCAGGCCCGAUUGGCGAGGGCAACAGCCCCGAGGCGGUCGAAGGACAGACGGGCGACCCUCGGCCCCCGGCCCGAGUCUCCGGGCCCGUGGCGCGCAGGGCCAUAGCGCGGAAGCCGCUGAGGCCAGACUCGCUGGUCAUCUACCGGCAGAAAUGUGAGUUCGUCCGAGGGCAGGGAGCCGACGGCCCUAGGGGGAGCCUGGUGAAGAAGCUCUUCCAGGGGCCGGUCAAGGACAAGACGGCCCCCGGCGUGUCCCGCGUGGGAGAGGAGGGCAGGGCCGAGGAGGCUGCCCGGACUGAGCCCGGCCGCGUAGUGGCUCCCGCAGUCCCAGGGCCCCCGGCGCUCCCGGAGCCCGCCCCGCCUGUCGCGGCGGCCCCCAGGGUCCCGGCUGCGCCCCGGGACCCAGAGCUCGAGGGGCCUCGCCCCGGGACCCUGCGAGGAGCGAGGCGCCGGGGACUGCAGCGCUCGCAGUCCGACCUCAGCUCCCGCUACUCCGCAUCCUUGGCCGAGUUCGACACCUUCUUCCAGUACUGCGGCUUGGAGCCCGAGGUGGUGGAGGCGCUGGGGAGGGAGAACUUCUCCGCGGCGUCGGAUCGCGUCGCCCUCAAGGUCCGCAGCGUGAGCGUCGCCACCUCCGAUAGCGGCUUCUCCCGGCACAGCGGCGGCGACGAGGGGCUGCAGGAGGACGAGCUGACGGAGCAGGGGUCCGGCACCACCUCCGUGGUGGAGAGGAACGCUCGUAUCAUCAAGUGGCUGUACACCUGUAAGAAGGCCAGAGAGGCCCCGGGCCAGGGGCUGCAGGGCCCGGCGUGACCCCUGCGCCUUGGUGACACCUGGCCCCAGGUGCGCUUCCAGGAAGCCCGGGAGGGGUGUCUAUGAGGGCUCGGAAGCAAGUCUUCCCGACCUCGGGGGCUCCUUGAAGCGGGUCUGGAUGACUGGGCGUCCAGGGCCGCCCUCACUGCCGGGCUUGGUCUGAUGUACCCAGGUGUCCGUAUGCUCAUCGUUUUCCCAGGAAUAAAGCACACCAGCGAAGAAGCUUAAGGAAUUUUGGAAAAAGCUGGAAAUGCAACAGAGCAGAUGGGAACACCGAACUUGGAAAUUAGCUGGGUUAUAACUGUUGACACAGCUGAGGCUCUGGAAGAUAUUUUCUUGUGCAGGGUGGCCUAGCCUUGCUUCCAGAGGGGAGCAGAAAAGGGGAAAGCUGCCUCAAAAUAUUUUCUCGGGCAUCUUUUUGAGUAGCUUGCUGACAAAGAGGUGCCAUGAUACAUUUUAAAAAUAUCUAAAUUAAUUUUAAAAAAACAAAGAGCAUGAAACUGAAGCAUGAAUGCCAUGGUAUAAGCCUCCGUGUGGACAGAACAUGGACUCAGGAUGUGGGGCAUGUGCCCUGGCCUUCAAUCUAAUUCACUCCCUGCCUAUCACACAGUCAUCCCAAAUGGGUCACCAGUUCACCCUUUGUGGAAAAAGGGUGUUUGAGACCAGGGGGUAGCCUCUGGGUGGCUGGGAGACUCGAGGACCAGAAUGUUGUCAGUCAGGUGUUCCUGGAACCUAAAUCUGAACUGGCUCAUGACACUCAGGGUAAAGAGAUUUCAGAUUCAGAAACUUCUGAGAGAAAUUUUCUAUCAAUGAUGAAAUCCCAAGGAAAAUUUAUGACCCAGAGCUUGCAAUGUUUUAUCAAAAUAUGCCUCUUCGAGAAUAAAAUUAUUAGAAGAAUAGGGAGGGAAGAGAAAUUGCUUUCUCAAUAGUAAAAUAUCCUAAAAACCAAUCUAUUUUGAUAUAGCCAUGUAUUUGUUUAAUAUUGCAUUUUUGUAAUUUUUACUGUGAGACUUGGCCCUCGAGUUACUUAAAUAUUUAUUUUUACAUAGCUAUUGGUCUUAAAUAGUAAUCCUACACUUCAUAUGGUUUUAGUUUUAAUCAGUAUAAUUUUAGAGCAUUCUCUCCUUGGUUCUCUUUUUGUAUAUGUUGUUGAACUGACUUUUCAACUGUUGACUGUAAGCAGAGUGUUCAGUACUCUGAAGUGCUCCGUAGCCUAGGGACUGGCUUUAAAUAACUUCACAGGAGGCAUUCUGAGAGGCUCUAUUGGCUGACGGAUGUACCUCUCUCCGCGUAGACUCUUUACACAGGCGAAGAUUUCCUGCUCUAAGAAAACUGUCCCCGUUGUUCCCCUAGGAAUGCUGCUGUUUUGCUGUUCACUGGGUUGCACUUAGUUGGAAAGAGUGUCAAGGAUGACGGUGUUUUCUCAGGAGGUUUUCAUAGAUGCAGUGUUCCCUUACUGGCAGUUCCACGGAUUUUGUGUGUGAACCUUGGAAGUAAAACUGUUAUGUGCCUUUCUAUUGUCAGAAGAGGAUGGACUGAAACCUCAGUCAGAUUUAUCUAAGGUCAAAAUGCUGCAGGCUCAACCAUACCUAAUACAUAAAAAAAUGUAAAAACGAAUUGGCUACUGUUUAAAAGCACCAAGAUCAUCCAGAAGCAUUUGUGCCUCUGUGGAGGGGACUGCUGAGAGGAGAUGUCAGAAGUGGGUGUGAAGCAGGAGCAGGGUGUCCCUGGACUCCGACAGGAUUGGGUUAACACUCCCUCUGGUCCAUUCAGAGUCACACUUCAGCAUCAGGGCUCAGUGUGUGCUUGGAGGCGAGAAGUCGUCUCCUAAUUCUGAAUUUUCCCAAUUUGCUGAGUGGCUUGGAGCAAAUGAAACCUGACAGCUGAGUCUGAAUCAAAGAGCUUGUCAUGGAUGUUCACAAGGGCGCGCAGUCGUUGCUGCUGCAAAAUGGUUUUAUUUGUUCAUGAAAGAACAGCAUAUGAAAUAAUAUGAUUAAACACCAAGGAAAGGAAAAAGUACUGAUAAGGAAAACAGCUGGACGGUGUCUGUGUCACUCAUAUAUGGGUAGAGGUAAGCAAUGCCUCGGACCAAAAGGUAUUCACGUAACUGGAAGAGUCCUCAUAACGUACCCGUGCAGGUAGUUUUUAACUCUUGGUCACUGACACUGGGAUCAAACGUUGCCCUUUUCAGUGGGUUAAAAGUACAGUCCUAUAGUUAUAGUUUGUGAGGCCAGACAGUUAUUAUGGCAGUUUCUAAACAGAGGUGUUUUUUUUUUUUUCCCUACACACUACUUGCAACAGAAGUGCAAUACUGCAUAUUCUGUAUUAAAAAAAUAAAGUCUUAUCAUUAAAAUUACUUUAUGAAUUUGUACAAUGUGAAAAAUUGAAGCCAGAGUAUGUUUAUUAUACUUACUCAUAUCUUUUGUGUUCACUCUUUCUUCCUAAUAUCGUCUUAAUCGAUUACCAGUAGGAAUGAGGAAAAUAUCCCAAAACUUGACCCAGGCAAGUCAUGUGGCAUCCAGAGUCUUCUAGAUGGAGAUGGAAUAUGCAAUAAAAACAAUUUGAACAUUUA